This 279-nucleotide ribosomal RNA is filed under the name uncultured bacterium. Its description in RNAcentral is "partial 16S ribosomal RNA". It matches the Rfam family "Bacterial small subunit ribosomal RNA", at positions 506 to 784 of the family's 1533-position model. The record is from RNAcentral.
UGCCAGCCGCCGCGGUAAUACAGGGGGUGCGAGCGUUAAUCGAAAUUACUGGGCGUAAAGCGUGCGUAGGUGGAUAUUUAAGUCGGAUGUGAAAGCCCCGGGCUCAACCUGGGAACUGCAUUCGAUACUGGAUGUCUAGAGUAUGGUAGAGGGAAGUGGAAUUUCCGGAGUAGCGGUGAAAUGCGUAGAUAUCGGAAGGAACACCAGUGGCGAAGGCGGCUUCCUGGACCAAUACUGACACUGAGGUACGAAAGCGUGGGGAGCAAACAGGAUUAGAUA